Molecule: long non-coding RNA, 562 nt
Filed under: Nicotiana benthamiana
Lineage: Eukaryota; Viridiplantae; Streptophyta; Magnoliopsida; Solanales; Solanaceae
Description: long non-coding RNA (NBEN_LNC039265)
Source: RNAcentral
ACAAAUGCUUCUAGAUAAAGCUGAAAAAUAUAAUAUGAAAACACCUACUACAAUUGAAUUAGAAAUAAAGAAAGACACAUAAAAUCCUUUAUGAAGCUGGUUCUUCAAUCUAGUUCAUAUAGCUUCAGGUGUGCAUAAUUGAAUCACAAACGAAUUGCUUGCAAAAAGCCUUGCUAUUUUGUUCUCAAUUCAUGUUUAACUUCUGCAUUUUUGUGCAAUACCUGUAACGUGAGAACAUCCUGUAAUUUAUUGAGUUAGUAGAUGAAGAAAUAGCUAGAGUUCUGAUACAACUCCUCCUUGGUGGAAGAGUUGUAUUUGAUUUCAACUUCUAACUCCUUUCCUAUCUUGGAUAGUGUUCUCUUUGAUUAAGGAUUCCUUCCCCUUAUCAAUUAUGCAACUUUUUCGAUCAGGAGAUAUUAAAUACACCAAGUUAAUAUUAUCUUCUUCACGUGCAUCCAACAUGCUCGAAUCUACCCAUUUUUAUGAACCUGGGGGAUGGACCACUGGGAUGGACAUGGUUCAUGCUUGAAUUCCUUUGUCAGUCUUCAAAACUGACCUUUAC